AGCUACAUCUGCGUUUCUGGACACAGAUCUUCCCCUCCUAGUAUCAGCGUCCGAAGACUUGGGAUUUUCAUUGUCGGGAGGGGACACAGUGGUCCAAUAGAGAGGAUUGUCUCUUUUAUUCAAGAAAUCCGAUGAUGGUGAUGAAGUUUGGAGGUGGGAUCUUGAGACAGCGCUUACGCUUCUUGAUCUUCGAGGAGGUGGUUUGUUCGGAGAGUUGGGUUUGGUUUCAUCUUUGGAGGAGGAUAGUGAUGAUGAAUUUGUUGGCCUUCGAGAGGAAGAUUUGAAGGCUGCCACUGCCAUUGUUGAUUCAGCCCUAUAGAAACAUUGAAGAUAUCAUUUCAUUAUCAAUACAAAAUGGUGCAGUGUAGGUGAAGACAAUUGUAUAAAAUUCUCCUGUUCUUUCGCAAUC
Molecule: unclassified non-coding RNA, 409 nt
Filed under: Hevea brasiliensis (rubber tree)
Lineage: Eukaryota; Viridiplantae; Streptophyta; Magnoliopsida; Malpighiales; Euphorbiaceae
Source: RNAcentral